UGUUUGGGAAUGCAGCUCUAAAACGGUGGUAAGGUUCAUCGAAAGCUAAAUACAGGCGAGAGACCGAUAGCGAACAAGUACCGUGAGGGAAAGAUGAAAAGAACUUUGAAAAGAGAGUUAAAAAGUACUUGAAAUUGCUAAGAGGGAAGCGCUAAAAACCAGUGUGACUGCUCUCAUUCUGCCUAUCCACCUCUCUGUUUGGCUGCGCUAUUAGUUGGCAACUCUAGUAGUGUAGUCUCACAAGCGGGGAGUGGGUGGGUCCUGUGAGAGUAGCGCGUCAGGAUCAGUUCAGAUGUGCAGGAGAGGAUAAGGGAGAAGGUAGGGUUGGAAACAACCUGUUAUAUCUCCCUGUUUCGACUGUGCUCCGGACUGAGGAAAAGUAAUGGUGCGCCGCUACGGCUUGUGCCUCUGUUGCUAUGUGGUACCAACGGCUUGGAUGACAAUGUCAUGCUGUUGUUGGUGCUGCACACGCAGUGGAACGCCCCGAUGCACCAUCACGAUUCUGACUAAAUGGUUUUUAUCGACCCGUCUUGAAACACGGACC
This 544-nucleotide ribosomal RNA is filed under the name uncultured soil eukaryote. RNAcentral's name for it is "eukaryotic LSU rRNA". It matches the Rfam family "Eukaryotic large subunit ribosomal RNA", at positions 271 to 667 of the family's 3401-position model. The record is from RNAcentral.